AUUACAUUCAAUUCGAAGUUAGUUGUUUCAUUGUCAAGUUGUAACUAGACUUUAACAAUUUGUGAAAUUAAACAAAAAAAAAUUCUUUUUAUUCUUUUAGAAAAUAUUCAUAUUUCUAUUCUUAGUUCUUAAUUCAAUUUAAUAUGAGCUAUCCUCAAAAUGGAAACAGUCCUCUAGAUCAGCAGUUUGCUGCUCUGGAUAUGAAUCAGAACAAUGCCCCUCGAUUCGAUGCUGCUUCUGCUGCUCCAAUGCAAGCAAGAGGCUAUGUGAAUUCCAAUGAAAAUUUUCAGAAUCCUGAAAUGUACAAUCGUAGAGCCUAUAAUAAUCAAUACAAUGAUGGUGCUCGUGACUCAUACAAUCGCCCUAGAACAUUUAACAAUUCCGGUGAUCGUGGUGGCAAUCGAAAUUUCAAUGAUAAUCGCUAUCCACGUGAAAAUGGCUUUGUGAAUCGUGGCUACAACAAUAAUAAUCGAUUUUUUCCUCGAAGCAAUGCAAAUCUUGCAUGGCGAGAUCUUCCUCAGCCACAACAGCCUCAAAUGGAAAUUGCAAACGGAUUCCAGGCAGAGAAUCAGAACCGAAAUUUCUAUCCUCGGAACAAUGUUAAUGGAUUUGCUAAUAAUAAUCGAGUUAGCAGCGGUAAUUUUUAUCCACGAGGUCCACCACCUCAACAAGUUAAUCAAGAUUGGACAAACCCAUUGCCACGAAAUGAAGAAUAUGAAAAGCAUCUAUUUGCUGGCGUUCAUACUGGUAUUAAUUUCGAAAAAUAUGAAGAUAUUCCUGUAAAAGUUACUGGUGAAUGCUGUCCUCAGCCCAUCGAAUCUUUCGAUGAUUCUCAAUUGAAAUUAACUCCGAUCAUUGAAAAUAACGUUAAACUGGCCAAUUAUGAUAAACCGACUCCGGUGCAAAAGUAUGCCAUUCCCAUUAUAAUGGCUGGUCGUGAUUUAAUGGCUUGUGCACAAACUGGUUCUGGCAAAACUGCUGCUUUCCUUUUGCCCAUCUUGAAUAAUGCUUUCAUAUCUGGCCCUCCUGCUCCCCCACCUGUACGUCGACCUGGUGGCUUUCGAGCUCGACAUUUUCCGUUGAUUUUGAUUUUGGCACCAACACGAGAGUUGGCACUUCAGAUUUAUGAUGAAGCCAAAAAAUUUUCUUAUCGCUCCCGUGUCCGACCAUGUGUCGUCUAUGGUGGAUCCGACAUUGGUGCCCAAAUGCGAGAUUUGGACAAUGGAUGCCAACUUUUAGUUGCUACUCCAGGACGUUUGAUUGAUAUGGUGGAACGGCGAAAAGUUAGUUUGGAAAAGAUUGCUCAUCUUGUUUUGGAUGAAGCCGAUCGUAUGCUCGAUAUGGGUUUUGAACCACAAAUUCGCCAAAUCGUUGAACAAUGUGACAUGCCUGAAACUGGUGUUCGACAAACUUUGAUGUUUUCUGCCACGUUUCCAAAAAAAGUUCAAGAAUUGGCUACAAACUUUUUAGAAAAUUACAUUUUCCUCACUGUUGGACGUGUUGGAAGUACUUCGGAAAACAUAACCCAAAAAAUUGAAUGGGUCAAUGAGAACGACAAGCGUUCCUACUUGCUUGAUUUAUUGAACAACGAUGUUCAUCGUUCAGGCCCUGAUUCGUUGACUCUGAUCUUUGUUGAAACCAAAAAAGGUGUGGAUUAUCUGGAACAUUUCUUGGAACGAAAUGGUUGCCAUGUAAGCAGCAUCCAUGGUGAUCGAAAUCAAAAUGAUCGUGAAGAUGCAUUGUACAGCUUUAGAGCUGGUAGAACUCCAAUCAUGGUUGCAACAGCUGUUGCUGCUCGUGGUCUUGAUAUUCCCAAUGUCAAGCAUGUAAUCAAUUUCGACUUACCAAAUGAUAUUGAAGAAUAUGUUCAUCGGAUUGGUCGAACCGGUCGUGUGGGCAAUUUGGGUUUGGCCACAUCGUUUUUCAACGACAAGAAUAAAAACAUUGCCGUCAAUCUUUACGAACUUAUGGUUGAAUCAAAACAAACUAUUCCAGAUUUCUUGACCAACAUGGUUAAAUCGAUUAAUGCGGAAUCACGAAGCUCUUGGAAUCGUCACAAACCAGGCCCACGAAGAUAUGGAGCUGGUAGUUUUAUGUCACGAGAUUUCCGACAAUCUUAUGAUGAUCAUGGUGAAUCACCACGUUAUUCAAUGGCACCACCGCGACAAAUGAAUGGAUUUGUUAGUUACAACAAUUCAAAUCACAACAAUUCAUAUUCGCGUCCAUCCAACCCUCGCAACAAUGUUCCAAGUUGUUGGGAUUAAUUGUGAUUGGGUUGAUUUGAUCAAUCUGAAUCUACAAAAAAAAAUUGGCUCGUAUGACUUGGCAAUGAUGCGUUCCUUUUGAUUCUUUCCCUAUCGUCAAGUCAUAUCAUUUAAAAUUGGCAUCAUCAACAAUUAUUACGUUUAUUUAUGAAAUAAUGUGAAUCAAUUCAAUAAACAGCCAUCAGAAAAAAAUACACCAUUCACACCACCACAGCAACAGAAUUUUUAUGUAUCCAAUUUGUCCACACACACAUCAACAACACACAAACACACACAUUAUAUAUCAGUAGUAAAACGUAUUUAAUAAUAA
This is an RNA transcript of Dermatophagoides farinae (American house dust mite), 2574 nucleotides long. It is a transcript of the gene named ATP-dependent RNA helicase DDX3Y, with no coding region annotated. Lineage: Eukaryota; Metazoa; Arthropoda; Arachnida; Sarcoptiformes; Pyroglyphidae. The record is from RefSeq and is a predicted model, not a curated record.